AAGCGCUUGCAAUCAGACUUGCAUGUAGUUGAUCAUCCGAUGUUCUCACCGGUGCACUCAAUUGCAUUCAGGCCAGUAUCGGUUCUGGUGGUUGGAUAAAGACCUUGAGAAUGUAGCUUCUUUCGGGGAGUGUUAUAGCUCUUGGUGCAAUGCAGCCUACCAGGACCGAGGACCGCGCUUUGGCUAGGAUGCUGGCGUAAUGGUUGUAAGCGA
RNAcentral lists this ribosomal RNA (213 nucleotides) under Leotiaceae sp. Its description in RNAcentral is "partial large subunit ribosomal RNA". The record is from RNAcentral. Lineage: Eukaryota; Fungi; Ascomycota; Leotiomycetes; Leotiales; Leotiaceae.